GGGCUAGCAAUAGUCAGUGGCGCACGGGUGCGUAACACGUGGGUAAUCAACCCUUCAGCUCGGGAUAACGUCUUGAAAGGGACGCUAAUACCGGAUACGGCGCGAGAGGCUUCGGCUUUUUGCGAGAAAGAUUCGCAAGGAUUACUGAAGGACGAGCCUGCGGCCCAUCAGCUAGUUGGUGAGGUAAGAGCUCACCAAGGCUAAGACGGGUAGCUGGUCUGAGAGGAUGAUCAGCCACACUGGAACUGAGACACGGUCCAGACUCCUACGGGAGGCAGCAGUGGGGAAUAUUGCGCAAUGGGCGAAAGCCUGACGCAGCCACGCCGCGUGAGCGAUGAAGGCCUUCGGGUCGUAAAGCUCUGUGGGGAGAGAAGAAUAAAGCCUGUGAAGAGCAGGCCUUGACG
This 404-nucleotide ribosomal RNA is filed under the name uncultured bacterium. RNAcentral's name for it is "bacterial SSU rRNA". It matches the Rfam family "Bacterial small subunit ribosomal RNA", at positions 72 to 474 of the family's 1533-position model. The record is from RNAcentral.